GACGAACGCUGGCGGCGUGCCUAAUACAUGCAAGUCGAACGAACUCUGGUAUUGAUUGGUGCUUGCAUCAUGAUUUACAUUUGAGUGAGUGGCGAACUGGUGAGUAACACGUGGGAAACCUGCCCAGAAGCGGGGGAUAACACCUGGAAACAGAUGCUAAUACCGCAUAACAACUUGGACCGCAUGGUCCGAGUUUGAAAGAUGGCUUCGGCUAUCACUUUUGGAUGGUCCCGCGGCGUAUUAGCUAGAUGGUGAGGUAACGGCUCACCAUAGCAAUGAUACGUAGCCGACCUGAGAGGGUAAUCGGCCACAUUGGGACUGAGACACGGCCCAAACUCCUACGGGAGGCAGCAGUAGGGAAUCUUCCACAAUGGACGAAAGUCUGAUGGAGCAACGCCGCGUGAGUGAAGAAGGGUUUCGGCUCGUAAAACUCUGUUGUUAAAGAAGAACAUAUCUGAGAGUAACUGUUCAGGUAUUGACGGUAUUUAACCAGAAAGCCACGGCUAACUACGUGCCAGCAGCCGCGGUAAUACGUAGGUGGCAAGCGUUGUCCGGAUUUAUUGGGCGUAAAGCGAGCGCAGGCGGUUUUUUAAGUCUGAUGUGAAAGCCUUCGGCUCAACCGAAGAAGUGCAUCGGAAACUGGGGAACUUGAGUGCAGAAGAGGACAGUGGAACUCCAUGUGUAGCGGUGAAAUGCGUAGAUAUAUGGAAGAACACCAGUGGCGAAGGCGGCUGUCUGGUCUGUAACUGACGCUGAGGCUCGAAAGUAUGGGUAGCAAACAGGAUUAGAUACCCUGGUAGUCCAUACCGUAAACGAUGAAUGCUAAGUGUUGGAGGGUUUCCGCCCUUCAGUGCUGCAGCUAACGCAUUAAGCAUUCCGCCUGGGGAGUACGGCCGCAAGGCUGAAACUCAAAGGAAUUGACGGGGGCCCGCACAAGCGGUGGAGCAUGUGGUUUAAUUCGAAGCUACGCGAAGAACCUUACCAGGUCUUGACAUACUAUGCAAAUCUAAGAGAUUAGACGUUCCCUUCGGGGACAUGGAUACAGGUGGUGCAUGGUUGUCGUCAGCUCGUGUCGUGAGAUGUUGGGUUAAGUCCCGCAACGAGCGCAACCCUUAUUAUCAGUUGCCAGCAUUAAGUUGGGCACUCUGGUGAGACUGCCGGUGACAAACCGGAGGAAGGUGGGGAUGACGUCAAAUCAUCAUGCCCCUUAUGACCUGGGCUACACACGUGCUACAAUGGAUGGUACAACGAGUUGCGAACUCGCGAGAGUAAGCUAAUCUCUUAAAGCCAUUCUCAGUUCGGAUUGUAGGCUGCAACUCGCCUACAUGAAGUCGGAAUCGCUAGUAAUCGCGGAUCAGCAUGCCGCGGUGAAUACGUUCCCGGGCCUUGUACACACCGCCCGUCACACCAUGAGAGUUUGUAACACCCAAAGUCGGUGGGGUAACCUUUUAGGAACCAGCCGCCUAAGGUGGGACAGAUGAUUAGGGUGAAG
RNAcentral lists this ribosomal RNA (1492 nucleotides) under Lactiplantibacillus pentosus. RNAcentral's name for it is "bacterial SSU rRNA". It matches the Rfam family "Bacterial small subunit ribosomal RNA". Lineage: Bacteria; Bacillati; Bacillota; Bacilli; Lactobacillales; Lactobacillaceae. The record is from RNAcentral.